RNAcentral lists this ribosomal RNA (485 nucleotides) under uncultured bacterium. Its description in RNAcentral is "bacterial SSU rRNA". It matches the Rfam family "Bacterial small subunit ribosomal RNA", at positions 19 to 518 of the family's 1533-position model. The record is from RNAcentral.
AUGGCUCAGGACGAACGCUGGCGGCAUGCCUAACACAUGCAAGUCGAACGGAGUAAUGACUUCGGUUAUUACUUAGUGGCGAACGGGUGAGUAACACGUGAAUAAUCUGCCCUGUACGAUGGGAUAACAGCUGGAAACGGCUGCUAAUACCGUAUAUGACCACGCCGAGGCAUCUCGGAGGGGUGAAAGCGCUUAAGCGGUACAGGAUGAGUUCGCGUCCAAUUAGCUAGUUGGUGAGGUAACGGCCCACCAAGGCGACGAUUGGUAGCCGACCUGAGAGGGUGAUCGGCCACACUGGAACUGAGACACGGUCCAGACUCCUACGGGAGGCAGCAGUGGGGAAUAUUGGGCAAUGGAGGAAACUCUUACCCAAGCAAUGCCGCGUGAGUGAUGAAGGUCUUCGGAUUGUAAAGCUCUUUGAUUGGGGACGAAUAAAUGACGGUACCCAAGGAACAAGCCCCGGCUAACUAUGUGCCAGCCGCCGC